GGCUAGCAACAGCGCUUACCU
RNAcentral lists this microRNA (21 nucleotides) under Pan troglodytes (chimpanzee). RNAcentral describes it as "ptr-miR-621". Its record names the gene ptr-miR-621. RNAcentral also lists the same sequence under 1 other name. The record is from miRBase by way of RNAcentral. Lineage: Eukaryota; Metazoa; Chordata; Mammalia; Primates; Hominidae.